GACGAACGCUGGCGGCGUGCUUAACACAUGCAAGUCGAACGGAAAGGCCCUGCUUUUGUGGGGUGCUCGAGUGGCGAAGGGGUGUGUAACACGUGAGUAACCUGCCCUUGACUUUGGGAUAACUUCAGGUAACGGGGGCUAAUAUCGGAUAGGAGCUCCUGCUGCAUGGUGGGGGUUGGAUAGUUUCGGCGGUUGGGGAUGGACUCGCGGCUUAUCAGCUUGUUGGUGGGGUAGUGGCUUACCAAAGCUUUGACGGGUAGCCGGCCUGAGAGGGUGACCGGCCACAAUGGGACUGAGAUACGGCCCAGACUCGUACGGGGGGCAGCAGUGGGAAAUAUUGCACAAUGGGCGGAAGCCUGAUGCAGAAACGCCGCGUGCGGGAUGACGGCCUUCGGGUUGUAAACCGCUUUCGCCUGUGACGAAGCGUGAGUGACGGUAAUGGAUAAAGAAGCACCGGCUAACUACGUG
Molecule: ribosomal RNA, 468 nt
Filed under: uncultured bacterium
Lineage: Bacteria
Description: partial 16S ribosomal RNA
Rfam family: Bacterial small subunit ribosomal RNA
Source: RNAcentral